GUUGUUUCGUUGCAGAGGGAGAAGGAACUUUGUGAGUUUGGGUUUUUGGGAAUAGUACAACAGAGGGAGAAAAAGCUGAAUGUCUUGUUGUUAAUAUCAGCAGAGAAGAAAUAAAGUACGUCACAUCAGCAUAAAAUUAAUAUCGUUGUUGUUAAUUCAACGGAGAUAAUCUUAUUCAUACAAUUUUCAUAACAUGAAGACUCAAUGUCUUUAUUUUUAAAACGGGAUACUAAACAAAAAUUCACCGCUUAACCUGAAAACGAAGCAAACAUUUAAAGCUUACAUUUGUAAUUGAAAUCACACUUUCACACUUUUUCUUCUUACAAUGUGUAUUUACAAACAAUCAGUAAGUGUUUCUCUUAUUCUAGUUUAAUCCUUUCCAUCAUAUAUU
This 391-nucleotide long non-coding RNA is filed under the name Vigna radiata. RNAcentral's name for it is "long non-coding RNA (VRAD_LNC001275)". Lineage: Eukaryota; Viridiplantae; Streptophyta; Magnoliopsida; Fabales; Fabaceae. The record is from RNAcentral.